UACGUUGUCCGGAAUCAUUGGGCGUAAAGCGCGCGCAGGCGGUCCCUUAAGUCUUAUGUGAAAGCCCACGGCUCAACCGUGGAGGGUCAUUGGAAACUGGGGGACUUGAGUGCAGAAGAGGAAAGCGGAAUUCCAAGUGUAGCGGUGAAAUGCGUAGAGAUUUGGAGGAACACCAGUGGCGAAGGCGGCUUUCUGGUCUGUAACUGACGCUGAGGCGCGAAAGCGUGGGGAGCAAACAGGAUUAGAUACCCUGG
Molecule: ribosomal RNA, 254 nt
Filed under: uncultured bacterium
Lineage: Bacteria
Description: partial 16S ribosomal RNA
Rfam family: Bacterial small subunit ribosomal RNA
Source: RNAcentral